ACGGGUGAGGAAUACAUCGGAAUCUACCUUUUCGUGGGGGAUAACGUAGGGAAACUUACGCUAAUACCGCAUAAGACCUUCGGGUGAAAGUGGGGGACCUUCGGGCCUCACGCGGAUAGAUGAGCCGAUGUCGGAUUAGCUUGUUGGCGGGGUAAAAGCCCACCAAGGCGACGAUCCGUAGCUGGUCUGAGAGGAUGAUCAGCCACACUGGAACUGAGACACGGUCCAGACUCCUACGGGAGGCAGCAGUGGGGAAUAUUGGACAAUGGGCGCAAGCCUGAUCCAGCCAUACCGCGUGGGUGAAGAAGGCCUUCGGGUUGUAAAGCCCUUUUGUUGGGAAAGAAAUCCUGCCGGUUAAUAACCAGUAGGGAUGACGGUACCCAAAGAAUAAGCACCGGCUAACUUCGUGCCAGCAGCCGCGGUAAUACGAAGGGUGCAAGCGUUACUCGGAAUUACUGGGCGUAAAGCGUGCGUAGGUGGUUGUUUAAGUCUGCUGUGAAAGCCCUGGGCUCAACCUGGGAAUUGCAGUGGAUACUGGGCGACUAGAGUGUGGUAGAGGAUAGUGGAAUUUCCGGUGUAGC
RNAcentral lists this ribosomal RNA (581 nucleotides) under Pseudoxanthomonas sp. BvIRR067. Its description in RNAcentral is "bacterial SSU rRNA". It matches the Rfam family "Bacterial small subunit ribosomal RNA", at positions 102 to 679 of the family's 1533-position model. RNAcentral also lists the same sequence under 5 other names. The record is from RNAcentral. Lineage: Bacteria; Pseudomonadati; Pseudomonadota; Gammaproteobacteria; Lysobacterales; Lysobacteraceae.